UACCCUCAAUUCUUCACAUUUUUUAAUGUGCAUGAAUUGGAUGUGGAGGUUUUUGCCGGUGUUCACCACCGGCUCCUCUUAAAUGUAUUAGUGUGAAUGUUUACCAAACGUUCCUCAGUGUGAUAAUUGUCUACGCUGUGGUAGUGAGGUUCCAUUAAGUUCAUGCUUCUAAUCGUCCUUCAUUGGACAACAAUUUUUGAC
RNAcentral lists this unclassified non-coding RNA (201 nucleotides) under Hypochnicium lundellii. Its description in RNAcentral is "partial internal transcribed spacer 2". Lineage: Eukaryota; Fungi; Basidiomycota; Agaricomycetes; Polyporales. The record is from RNAcentral.